UGGUACUCAAUGUUUUUCCCCCUGCA
This 26-nucleotide non-coding RNA is filed under the name Rattus norvegicus (Norway rat). The record is from RNAcentral. Lineage: Eukaryota; Metazoa; Chordata; Mammalia; Rodentia; Muridae.